GACGAACGCUGGCGGCGUGCCUAAUACAUGCAAGUAGAACGCUGAAGGAGGAGCUUGCUUCUCUGGAUGAGUUGCGAACGGGUGAGUAACGCGUAGGUAACCUGCCUGGUAGCGGGGGAUAACUAUUGGAAACGAUAGCUAAUACCGCAUAAUAGUAGAUGUUGCAUGACAUUUGCUUAAAAGGUGCAAUUGCAUCACUACCAGAUGGACCUGCGUUGUAUUAGCUAGUUGGUGAGGUAACGGCUCACCAAGGCAACGAUACAUAGCCGACCGGAGAGGGUGAGCGGCCACACUGGGACUGAGACACGGCCCAGACGCAUACGGGAGGCAGCAGUAGGGAAUCUUCGGCAAUGGGCGGAAGACUGACCGAGAAACGCCGCGUGAGUGAAGAAGGUUUUCGGAUCGUAAAGAUCUGUUGUAAGAGAAGAACGAGUGUGAGAGUGGAAAGUUCACAGUGUGACGGUAUCUUACCAGAAAGGGACGGCUAACUACGUG
Molecule: ribosomal RNA, 495 nt
Filed under: uncultured bacterium
Lineage: Bacteria
Description: partial 16S ribosomal RNA
Rfam family: Bacterial small subunit ribosomal RNA
Source: RNAcentral